GUUGGAGAGUAAUUGUUUUUUGUCAGAUGUUGGGCCAUCUACAUCAAAGAUAUCCAUGUCAGUUUCAUUGGGUUCAAUAAAUUCUCAAAGGAAGAGGGCUAAAUCUCAUUCAAACUGUAGANNNNNNNNNNNCUGAUGGAUACUGUGGAUGAAGCAUUUGAGAAGAGUGAUAACCAGAAUGGAACUACAUUGCAUACACAGUUAAAGAAGGGCUCAUUAUCAAUGUCUAAAGCGAG
This 236-nucleotide unclassified non-coding RNA is filed under the name Hevea brasiliensis (rubber tree). The record is from RNAcentral. Lineage: Eukaryota; Viridiplantae; Streptophyta; Magnoliopsida; Malpighiales; Euphorbiaceae.